UACGUAGGGUGCAAGCGUUGUCCGGAAUUAUUGGGCGUAAAGAGCUCGUAGGCGGUUUGUCGCGUCUGCUGUGAAAACUCGGGGCUUAACCCCGGGCCUGCAGUGGGUACGGGCAGACUAGAGUGCGGUAGGGGAGACUGGAAUUCCUGGUGUAGCGGUGAAAUGCGCAGAUAUCAGGAUGAACACCGGUGGCGAAGGCGGGUCUCUGGGCCGGUACUGACGCUAAGGAGCGAAAGCGUGGGGAGCGAACAGG
This 253-nucleotide ribosomal RNA is filed under the name uncultured bacterium. RNAcentral's name for it is "partial 16S ribosomal RNA". It matches the Rfam family "Bacterial small subunit ribosomal RNA", at positions 524 to 776 of the family's 1533-position model. The record is from RNAcentral.